AAUGCAAAGAUAGGAAUUCUAUUAAAGAUCUGUCUUAGAUAGGGGUGGAAACGAGCCGAGCUCGAGCGAGCUUAUGUUGGCUCAAAUUCGGCUUGAAAUUAAUUUCGAGCCUAAAUCUAGGCUCAAGCUCGGCUUGAAAUUAAUUCGAGCCGAGCUCGAGCGAGCCUAAUUUCGAGUCGAGCCGAGCUCGAGCUCUAAACGAGCCGAUUGAAAUUCUCGACAUUAUAUAAUCAAUAGUUUAAUUUUUAUAGAACAUUACCUAAAAUUUGAUGCAACAUAUCCAAUAGUUCAAAAUACAAAAUAAUUACAAGAAAUAUGAGCUAGGAUGCCUGUCUGAUCGGGUGAGGGUCAAAGAAAGAGAGAGAAAGAGAGAGGAGAAAAAAAAUAGGAAUUUGAAAAUUUGAAUGUUAUCAUGGUUUAGGAUUAUGUACAAAAGUGAAAGUCUGAAAGAGAGAGUGUGUUAUGUAAAUUUAGAGUUGGGUUCAAUUGCACGGUUGUACUUGUUGGAUUUAUUUUAUGGGCCAACAAUAAUGGCCAAAAUUAAAUUAAAGCCUAUAUAUAAUUAAAAUACAUUAUAUAUAUAUAUAGAAAUAGGCUACUAUACUAUCUAUAGUACCGGAGCUCUGAUACAAUAGUCUUGUUUUCGAUCUUAGGGUGUUCAAAUUAACGAUCCACACCGUUAAAUAUGAUCUAAGAUAUAUGAAGUUUUUAGGAAUAAAAUUUUAGUUUUUUUUUACAUCGUUUACUUAGUAAAUAAAUUAUGUCAAAAUGGACGGUGAAAAUUGAAUAAUCUUUAAAAUUGAGUAUAGAAAUUUUAAAUUCAAAAUCAAGAAUGUUAACCUUAAUCUAGAUAGUUUAAAGUAUUUUCUAUCAAAAUUUGAAGAAAUUUAGAUUUUUCUACACCAUUAAACUCCAAACUAGCCAUAGUAGCCAUUGAAAAUUGACAAUUUUGAAAUGUUUUGAUCAUAAAGUAAACUAUGUCAAAAAAAUAUAAAAUUUUAUUUCUAAAAACUUUAAAUACCCUAAAUUAGUUUUAACGGUAUGGAUCGUUGAUUUGAACACCCUAAAAUNN
Molecule: long non-coding RNA, 1072 nt
Filed under: Ananas comosus (pineapple)
Lineage: Eukaryota; Viridiplantae; Streptophyta; Magnoliopsida; Poales; Bromeliaceae
Description: long non-coding RNA (ACOM_LNC001748)
Source: RNAcentral